This 274-nucleotide ribosomal RNA is filed under the name uncultured bacterium. RNAcentral's name for it is "partial 16S ribosomal RNA". It matches the Rfam family "Bacterial small subunit ribosomal RNA", at positions 523 to 796 of the family's 1533-position model. The record is from RNAcentral.
AUACGAGGGGUGCAAGCGUUGUUCGGAUUUAUUGGGCGUAAAGCGAGUGUAGGCGGUUUGACAAGUCGAAUGUGAAAUCCCGAGGCCCAACCUCGGAACUGCAUCCGAAACUGUCAGGCUAGAGUCCCGGAGAGGGUGGCGGAAUUCCCGGUGUAGGGGUGAAAUCCGUAGAUAUCGGGAGGAACACCAGUGGCGAAGGCGGCCACCUGGACGGUGACUGACGCUGAGACUCGAAAGUGUGGGUAGCAAACAGGAUUAGAAACCCCAGUAGUCC